GACAGAGGGUGCGAACGUUGUUCGGAAUUACUGGGCGUAAAGCGCGUGUAGGCGGCAGCGCAAGUCGGGCGUGAAAUCCCACGGCUCAACCGUGGAAGUGCACUCGAAACUGCGCAGCUAGAGUCCUGGAGAGGAAGGUGGAAUGCUUGGUGUAGAGGUGAAAUUCGUAGAUAUCAAGCGGAACACCGGUGGCGAAGGCGACCUUCUGGACAGUAACUGACGCUGAGACGCGAAAGCGUGGGGAGCAAACAGG
Molecule: ribosomal RNA, 253 nt
Filed under: uncultured bacterium
Lineage: Bacteria
Description: partial 16S ribosomal RNA
Rfam family: Bacterial small subunit ribosomal RNA
Source: RNAcentral